Molecule: non-coding RNA, 67 nt
Organism: Podarcis lilfordi (Lilford's wall lizard)
Lineage: Eukaryota; Metazoa; Chordata; Lepidosauria; Squamata; Lacertidae
Source: the annotation of a GenBank genome assembly
GGGUAGCUCAAUGGUAGAGCACCUGCUUUGCAUCCUGAAGUCCCCAGGUUCAAUCCCGGCAUCUCCU